This 254-nucleotide ribosomal RNA is filed under the name uncultured bacterium. Its description in RNAcentral is "partial 16S ribosomal RNA". It matches the Rfam family "Bacterial small subunit ribosomal RNA", at positions 524 to 776 of the family's 1533-position model. The record is from RNAcentral.
CACGUAGGGGGCGAGCGUUGUCCGGAUUUAUUGGGCGUAAAGAGCUCGUAGGCGGCUCAGUAAGUCGGGUGUGAAAACUCCAGGCUCAACCUGGAGACGCCACCUGAUACUGCUGUGGCUAGAGUCCGGUAGGGGAGACUGGAAUUCCUGGUGUAGCGGUGAAAUGCGCAGAUAUCAGGAGGAACACCGGUGGCGAAGGCGGGUCUCUGGGCCGAUACUGACGCUGAGGAGCGAAAGCGUGGGGAGCGAACAGG